AAACAAAAGAGAGGAAAAUUCAGCCAAGUGGUAGAAUCAACGAGACAAAGGAAGAAGAGAGGAGAAGAAAAGAUCGAAAAUGGGAGAAAAUGAAGGAAUUCAACAACUUCAACAAAAUCCAUUAAAGAAGUGUUCCAAGGUCAAGCCUUGAAGAAGUUAAACCUUUGUGCAUGGAGCCAACUGCUAAUGACCUCAAGCUAACUGAGCUCUUUGUUGUGGAUAAGUUAUUUGCAAAGCCUUGGAACGUUCAUCGCUAUGUGUCAAGCCUUGAAGGAGUUAAACCUUUGUGCACGGAGCCAACUGUGAGCAGUAGUGUAGUAAAAUUAUGUUUCUUAAAAUUAUGAUUUGAAAUGUAGACAUAUGGUAUGUUUAAGGAAGCUAUAUUAUUGUUUUGCUAUGAAUGAACAUCAUAUACAUGUAUUAAGAUGACUGCUUGAAACAAGUUUGUUAUUAGAAAUCAAGCCAAUGACCUCAAGUUAACUGAGCU
Camellia sinensis is the source of this 487-nucleotide non-coding RNA. Lineage: Eukaryota; Viridiplantae; Streptophyta; Magnoliopsida; Ericales; Theaceae. The record is from RefSeq and is a predicted model, not a curated record.